Molecule: ribosomal RNA, 253 nt
Filed under: uncultured bacterium
Lineage: Bacteria
Description: partial 16S ribosomal RNA
Rfam family: Bacterial small subunit ribosomal RNA
Source: RNAcentral
UACAGAGACUGCGGGCGUUAUUCGGAUUCACUGGGCGUAAAGGGUGCGCAGGCGGCCGUGUGUGUGAGGCGUGAAAGCCCGGGGCUUAACCCCGGAAUUGCACCUCAAACUACACGGCUAGAGCAUUGGAGAGGGUAGCAGAAUUCAUGGUGUAGCAGUGAAAUGCGUAGAUAUCAUGAGGAAUACCAGAGGCGAAGGCGGCUACCUGGACAAUUGCUGACGCUCAGGCACGAAAGCGUGGGGAGCAAAAGGG